UUCAGAACAAACAAUAUCAUGGCAGCUUCACCCAAGUCUUUUAUAUUCAUUUGCCGACCAAAAAAGUCCAUAGCUUCGAAGCAGGUAUCUCUGUAUCUUAGCUUACUAAUGCCACUACGAAGCAUAAAUGAACGCAUAACAAGGAGGUGCAUCAUAUAGUCAGAUAAUUUCUUACUAAUUUGUGGGUAUUUUCUUCCAGUACUGCCCGGAUAUCUUCUUCCAUGAUAAUGGAAAAGAAUAUCCGUAGCAAUAUGCCAAAGGAGAAGGCUGUGGGUAAAUUCUACCUUGUUUAUGCUCCAUUGAAUUUCGUCAUAGAUAUUAUGGUUAUCGUUAGAGCCUUUAUCUCUGAGCACGUCGGAAGCUCCUUUCUUAGCCAAACGUGAGAGACAUGAGAACUUGAACUGUCCUUGGUCAUAUUUUAGACGCUUUUGUUGGAGACGAGAG
Molecule: long non-coding RNA, 444 nt
Filed under: Durio zibethinus
Lineage: Eukaryota; Viridiplantae; Streptophyta; Magnoliopsida; Malvales; Malvaceae
Description: long non-coding RNA (DZIB_LNC001242)
Source: RNAcentral